RNAcentral lists this ribosomal RNA (497 nucleotides) under uncultured bacterium. RNAcentral describes it as "partial 16S ribosomal RNA". It matches the Rfam family "Bacterial small subunit ribosomal RNA", at positions 28 to 507 of the family's 1533-position model. The record is from RNAcentral.
GAUGAACGCUGGCGGCGUGCCUAAUACAUGCAAGUCGAGCGAACGGACGAGAAGCUUGCUUUUCUGAUGUUAGCGGCGGACGGGUGUGUAACACGUGGAUCACCUACCUAUAAGACUGGGAUAACUUCGGGAAACCGGAGCUAAUACCGGAUAAUAUUUUGAACCGCAUGGUUCAAAAGUGAAAGACGGUCUUGCUGUCACUUAUAGAUGGAUCCGCGCUGCAUUAGCUAGUUGGUAAGGUAACGGCUUACCAAGGCAACGAUGCAUAGCCGACCUGAGAGAGUGAUCGGCCACACUGGAACUGAGACACGGUCCAGACUCCUACGAGAGGCAGCAGUAGGGAAUCUUCCGCAAUGGGCGGAAGCCUGACGGAGCAACGCCGCGUGAGUGGUGAAGGUCUUCGGAUCGGAAAACUCUGUUAUUAGGGAAGAACAUAUGUGUAAGUAACUGUGCACAUCUUGACGGUACCUAAUCAGAAAGCCACGGCUAACUACGUG